UCUGUCUGGCAUGGCCAGGGCUCAGAGCCACCCUCGUUUCCUCCUUCACCAUGGAGCAUCAGCUUCCCUGGGCUCAGCCAAGCGCCAUAGGGCAGCCCUG
This is a non-coding RNA of Chelonoidis abingdonii (Abingdon island giant tortoise), 100 nucleotides long. NCBI's taxonomy places the organism in Eukaryota, Metazoa, Chordata, Testudines, Testudinidae. The record is from RefSeq and is a predicted model, not a curated record.